Molecule: long non-coding RNA, 255 nt
Filed under: Ananas comosus (pineapple)
Lineage: Eukaryota; Viridiplantae; Streptophyta; Magnoliopsida; Poales; Bromeliaceae
Description: long non-coding RNA (ACOM_LNC023255)
Source: RNAcentral
UAUGAUUAUUAGUAAAUUUUAAUUUAAUAAUUUUUUGGAACUUUUGUAUAAUGUUACAGAUUAUUGGUCUGACAUAGUAGGGAGAGUAGAGUAGCGACAUCGUAAAAUAUAUGCGAAUAAGAAUAAAAUGUGUAGGGGUAAAAGAAUACAGAUAAGAAAUUAUCUUCAUGAUAGAUACUCUCUCUAGUUUACCGCAUUUUUGUUUUAAUAUUUCGUGAUUUUAUUAUGUCACUUAAGAUUAUUAUUUCUAUUUUU